CUGAUGGUAUCAGUUUGUGGCUUGCAGUUAUAAGCAGGAGCCUUCAAAACUGCAAUUUGAAGUCUCACCCUUGGGUGUGGAUGCACUGCUUGGGAUCCUUUCCCAACUGGGACUCCAUUGCUGUUUAUAAGGGACUUCCCAGCAAUGUUCAAAAGUCUGGAUGCAGGUUGUCAGCCCAGUUUGGACUACUAUGUGCUCUGGCUUCCAGCUCCAGGGGACUCUUGACAUCAGUAUGAAAUUCAAUAGGACCUGAAAAGGGGGUCAACCAAGUCCUGUGACUUCCACAUAAAACGUGAGUGGUGCUGAUAUUCCUCUGCCAGCUCUCCAGUGACUGCAAAUAACCAAACAGAUAAAAUGUAGCUUUCAUAAAACUCGAGGUUUGGUGGAGAAUUAGCAUGAGACUUGUGCUUGCUACUUGCUAACGGAAGGUUGGCCAAGAGCUCAG
This is a non-coding RNA of Odocoileus virginianus texanus, 445 nucleotides long. The record is from RefSeq and is a predicted model, not a curated record. Lineage: Eukaryota; Metazoa; Chordata; Mammalia; Artiodactyla; Cervidae.